Molecule: ribosomal RNA, 1169 nt
Filed under: Benedenia seriolae
Lineage: Eukaryota; Metazoa; Platyhelminthes; Monogenea; Capsalidea; Capsalidae
Description: partial 28S ribosomal RNA
Rfam family: Eukaryotic large subunit ribosomal RNA
Source: RNAcentral
ACUAACCAGGAUUCUCUUAGUAACGGCGAGUGAACAGAGAUUAGCCCAACAUCGAAGCCUCUAUGCAUUUGUGUGGAAGGCAAUGUGAUGUAAAGGUGUUCGUUUUCGCAGACUGGCUUACUUGAAGUCCAUAUUUGACUGUGGCUUGUGUAUAAUUAUACUCCCAGAGAUGGUGAAAGGCCAGUUCAAGUUGGUAAUUCAGACCAGACUGUCUGCGUAUAUACGUUCACUGUUGAGUCGGAUUGCUUGAGAUUGCAGUCCAAAUAUGGUGGUAAACUCCAUCAAAGGCUAAAUACCUGUGUGAAUCCGAUAGUCAACAAGUACCGUGAGGGAAAGUUGAAAAGUACUCUGAAGAGAGAGUAAAUAGUGCGUGAAACUACAUGAAGGUUAAACGGAUAGAGUCCAACUGCGUGUUAUUGUUCAUUGCAUUAUUCAUUACUAUGUACUAAUUGUGCAGCGACAGCUUGUCGAUUGGCGUACCCAUUUGUGGGUAUUUGAACAAUUGGCUAUGUUUAAUGGAUGUUGUUGUGCAAGUGUGGGUAAUGUUUAUGACGAUAGCAGAAGCCAUAGUCGGUUAAAUCUAUCAGCACUAAGCUAACAGCGUUUGCAUGAGCGACUUUUUGUCGUUUAUGUGAUCGAUAGACAGUUGUUAUUUACAUAUGCUUGCAUGUGUUUAUGGCAAAAUGGGCUACGGCCUGUUGUGAGCUGAGUGCGCUGUGUGAUUAACCGGUGACAUAUGUUCUAUGUAAUUCAUAAGCUAGCAUAGAUUGCUAUGAGAGCUUGUGAAGUAACGUACGAGCUAUGGUUUAGCGGAAGACUUUCUAUCCGGCCCGUCUUGAAACACGGACCAAGGAGUUAAACUGUGUCGCAAGUCAAGAAGCGUAAAAACUUCACGGCGCAAUAAAUGUAACAUUUAUUUAGUGUGAUCUGUGCAAUUUGGUAAAACAGUUGCACGGCGCAACACUAGCCCGUCCUCAUGUUGUGCUUGGUUACUGAUCAAGAUUGAAACGAGGGCGGAGCUUGAGCGACACAGUUAAGACCCGAAAGAUGGUGAGCUAUGCUUGCAUAGGUUGAAGCCAGAGGAAACUCUGGUGGAAGACCGUAACGAUUCUGACGUGCAAAUCGAUCGUUAAAUGUGAGUAUAGGGGCGAAAGACCAAUCGAACCAUC